Molecule: ribosomal RNA, 2538 nt
Filed under: human gut metagenome
Description: bacterial LSU rRNA
Rfam family: Bacterial large subunit ribosomal RNA
Source: RNAcentral
AGGGCGUAUGGUGGAUGCCUUGGCAUUAGAAGCUGAUGAAGGACGUGACUAACUACGAUAUGCUUCGGGGAGAUGUACGUAAUCUUUGAUCCGGAGAUUUCCGAAUGGGGGAACCCACUAGUGGUAAUGCACUAGUAUCGUAUAAUGAAAACAUAGUUAUACAGAAAGCAACCCAGUGAACUGAAACAUCUUAGUAACUGGAGGAAAAGAAAGAAAAAUCGAUUUCCUUAGUAGUGGCGAGCGAAACGGAAAGAGCCCAAACCGACUUUAGAGUCGGGGUUGUAGGACCUCUACUUAAGAGUUACAAAUUCACAAUAUAGUUGAACUAUUCUGGAAAGUUUGGCAAAACAAGGUGAUAGCCCUGUAAACGAAAUAUUGUGAACUCUUUGAGGUAUCCUGAGUACAACGAGACACGUGGAAUCUUGUUGGAAUCUGCGGGGACCAUCCCGCAAGGCUAAAUACUCUCUAAUGACCGAUAGUGAACAAGUACCGUGAGGGAAAGGUGAAAAGAACCCCGGGAGGGGAGUGAAAUAGAACCUGAAACCUUAUGCUUACAAGCAAUGGGAGCGCAAGUGACCAUGUACUUUUUGUAGAACGGGCCAACGAGUUAUGGUAUGCAGCGAGGUUAAGUUCCUGGAGGAACGGAGCCGUAGGGAAACCGAGUCUGAAUAGGGCGGCUAGUUGCAUGCUGUAGACCCGAAACCGGGUGACCUAUCCAUGUGCAGGUUGAAGUAACCGUAAAAGGUUAUGGAGGACCGAACUUAUAUCCGUUGAAAAGGGUUAGGAUGACGUGUGGAUAGCGGUGAAAUUCCAAUCGAACUCGGAGAUAGCUGGUUCUCCUCGAAAUAGCUUUAGGGCUAGCCUCAAGGGAAGAUACGCGGGGGUAGAGCACUGAAUGUUCUAGGGGCCUUCACCGGUUACCGAAAACUAUCAAACUCCGAAUACCGUAGUAUUAUACUUGGGAGUCAGACUACGAGAGAUAAGUUCCGUGGUCAAAAGGGAAACAGCCCAGACCUACAGCUAAGGUCCCAAAAUGUAGAUUAAGUGGAAAAGGAUGUGGAGCUGCAUAGACAACUAGGAUGUUGGCUUAGAAGCAGCCACUCAUUUAAAGAGUGCGUAAUAGCUCACUAGUCGAGUGACUCUGCGCCGAAGAUAAACGGGGCUAAAAUCUACUACCGAAGCUUAGGAAUUACUUUAAAGUAAUUGGUAGAGGAGCAUCGUAUGCGGGCAGAAGCUGUGCUGGAAGGCAUGGUGGACUGCAUAGGAGAGAGAAUGUUGGCAUGAGUAGCGUAAGGCAGGUGAGAAUCCUGUCCGCCGAAAAUCUAAGGUUUCCUGAGGAAGGUUCGUCCACUCAGGGUUAGUCGGGACCUAAGCCGAGGACGAGAGUCGUAGGCGAUGGACAACUGGUUGAGAUUCCAGUACCACCGAAAGUCGUUUGAGUGAAGUGGGGACACAGAAGGAUAGACAGAGCACGCCGUUGGUAGAGCGUGUCCAAGCAGUGAGGCUUGUGCGUAGGCAAAUCCGCGCACUUUAAGGCUAGGCUGUGAUGGGGAGGGAAAAAAGUACCGGAAGCUGUUGAUUUCACACUGUCAAGAAAAGCCGCUAGCGAGACCGUAGGUGCCCGUACCGCAAACCGACACAGGUAGAUGAGGAGAGAAUCCUAAGGUGAGCGAGAGAACUAUUGUUAAGGAACUCGGCAAAAUAACCCCGUAACUUCGGGAGAAGGGGUGCUCCGGAAACGGAGCCGCAGUGAAAAGUCCCAGGCGACUGUUUACCAAAAACACAGGUCUCUGCGAAAGCGAAAGCUGAAGUAUAGGGGCUGACGCCUGCCCGGUGCUGGAAGGUUAAGGGGAUGUGUUAGGGCAACCGAAGCACUGAACUUAAGCCCCAGUAAACGGCGGCCGUAACUAUAACGGUCCUAAGGUAGCGAAAUUCCUUGUCGGGUAAGUUCCGACCCGCACGAAAGGCGUAACGAUCUGGGCACUGUCUCAACAAUAGACUCGGUGAAAUUGUAGUACCGGUAAAGAUGCCGGUUACCCGCAGCAGGACGGAAAGACCCCAUGGAGCUUUACUGUAGCUUGAUAUUGAGAUUCGGCGUUGCAUGUACAGGAUAGGUGGGAGACUGCGAGGUAAGUACGCCAGUAUUUACGGAGUCACCGUUGGGAUACCACCCUUGUAACGUUGAGUUUCUAACAUUGCGCCGUGAUCCGGCGCAUGGACAGUGUCAGGUGGGCAGUUUGACUGGGGCGGUCGCCUCCUAAAGAGUAACGGAGGCGCCCAAAGGUUCCCUCAGUGCGGUCGGAAAUCGCGCGAAGAGUGUAAAGGCAGAAGGGAGCUUGACUGCGAGACAGACAAGUCGAGCAGGGACGAAAGUCGGGCUUAGUGAUCCGGUGGUUCCGCGUGGAAGGGCCAUCGCUCAACGGAUAAAAGCUACCCUGGGGAUAACAGGCUGAUACCCCCCAAGAGUUCACAUCGACGGGGGUGUUUGGCACCUCGAUGUCGGCUCGUCGCAUCCUGGGGCUGAAGCAGGUCCCAAGG